RNAcentral lists this long non-coding RNA (234 nucleotides) under Solanum tuberosum (potato). RNAcentral's name for it is "long non-coding RNA (STUB_LNC002652)". The record is from RNAcentral. Lineage: Eukaryota; Viridiplantae; Streptophyta; Magnoliopsida; Solanales; Solanaceae.
UUCUUCUUCUUUUUUUUCUCAACCCUCUUUCAGAGAGAUGGUCGAAGAGAGGUUCUUUUUCUGAGAUCAUCCUGCAAAAGGGGUAGUCAAGAAAAUUAAUUCAUUCUUUGAUUUUAAUUAAUCAAUUCAAUAUUUUUUCUUCAUUUUGUUGAAAAUUUUGACGUCAAUUUCUUGUGUUUUGAUGACUUUUGGAGUCUCAAAUCAUCCAUUAAAACCUUUGUUUCAUCAUUAGCU